CCCUGUCAGCAGCCGAGCCCGCGUCCUGUCUCCUAGGCAGCGCAAGGGUACUUCCGGCGCUGCCUGAUGACGUUAGGGCGCCAACCGGAAGCGAGCGGGUCGUGGGGAAACUGGCCGCAGACUGAAAGCCAGCUCACUGGAAGGGUCUCGUUCUUCAGCCGCGUCGGCCCCGAGCUGGAAAAUGCAGAUUCUUGGUUCCUGCGUUUUUUAAACUAGCAUCUCUGAUGGUGCUGAUGCAGAGGGCCAGCGGACUCUGGUUUGAAAAACACGGCCCUGUCGAAGGCACUUCUCACAGGCCCCCCUCCACAUCUCUUCUCUACUGCCAAAGCCCAGGACACAAGAGGCCAGAUGGAGACCAAGGGUUUCACAAGAAACUGAUCUUUACUCAACAAAGUUCUACACAAGUGGAAUCUCACGCCACCUUGGCGCCAGUCCCCAGCACAGCACGGUAACAAAUGGACAGACCCUGGGAGCCCGCAGGAAGAAGAGGAUGAGGGGGAAGGAGGGAUGUGGGAACGAGAGGGACUGCAGAUCGAGGCCAGUCAGGGUCCGCAGCCCUGCGCAGGGGAAAAGGUUGAGAAGCUGAAACUUCGUUGUGCAAAAAUCAACAAAAAAAUAAAUUAAAAAAUUAAAUAGUUUCCUUAAUUAAAAAAAGAAAAGAAGAAAAAGAUAA
Orcinus orca (killer whale) is the source of this 673-nucleotide long non-coding RNA. RefSeq lists it as uncharacterized. The record is from RefSeq and is a predicted model, not a curated record. NCBI's taxonomy places the organism in Eukaryota, Metazoa, Chordata, Mammalia, Artiodactyla, Delphinidae. The transcript is spliced from 2 exons.